This 20-nucleotide microRNA is filed under the name Ciona intestinalis (vase tunicate). RNAcentral describes it as "cin-miR-4050-3p". Lineage: Eukaryota; Metazoa; Chordata; Ascidiacea; Phlebobranchia; Cionidae. The record is from miRBase by way of RNAcentral.
CAGCUUGAAUUUGUUGCCUA